UGAUCAGUCAGGCUACUGGCUAUAUUCCAGGACCUAUCUGGUCCUGGAUAUAGCCAAAGCCCGACUGAAUG
Rattus norvegicus (Norway rat) is the source of this 71-nucleotide non-coding RNA. Lineage: Eukaryota; Metazoa; Chordata; Mammalia; Rodentia; Muridae. The record is from Rfam.